UCUUGUCUUCUAUACUUGCACCAUGUGGCAUUUCCCUCUCAUGCAUCAUCCUGGAAGUUCACACAAGAUUAGAGCCAAAUAUAGGGAAUAACAAUGGCUUGGUUUUGUCACUAAGCUCUCCUUCUUAAUCCCAAAGCUCCUUAUCUUCACCAUUAAUAUCCCUCCUCAUCAUGAGGUUAAGGUUCAUGACCUCUCUUUAUUUGGUCCAAACAUCCUAAUGGGGAACUUUCAUCAUCAAUCCACAAGGUACACUAAAGUCCUCUUUAACUUCCGCUAAUUCCUCUUCACUUACAAGGUAUUCAUCCUCUUGAGGAUUUUACUCACCACCAUCUUCAUGGGUCACCUUAUCCCCAACAAAGUAAAUAUCACCUUCUAACAACACUAUGUUCCUUCGAUUGGGGCAUUCACUUACCUUAUGACCCCAACCUUGACAUUUAAAGCAAACAAUACCUUUAAAAUUGAGAGCAGAAGAUGGAUUACCGUUAUUCGUUGGUGGAUACCUUUGGAUUGCCUUCUCAAUGGGAUUCUUCUCUACAAACUUAUUGGAAUCCUUGAUCUUAUUCCAUCCGGAGGGUGUAGAAGAAUUGUAACUUCUAUUGAAGGACUUCUUUGCAUUAUUGUUCCUUUCAGCCUCAAUGGCUGCUUUAACAAUAUCUUCUAUUCAUUCAAACUUGUGGGCAACUAGUUAAGAAGAAAUAUCAUAAUCUAACCCGCCUUUGAAUCGAUCCACACAAUGAUUUGGGGGUUUGAAAAUCUCAAGACUAAGAAUUAAGUUUUAAAACUCCUCACAAUAGUCUUCCACACCUCUACCUCCUUGCCUCAAUUUAUAGAGCUUUGUUAGUUGAUCUUGUUCAAACCUUUCCAUUACAUACCUCUCUCCCAUGAGUGCCCUCAAUUCAUUCUAAUUCGAGAGGUUGGUAUUAAUCCUUGCACUCUUUAAUUCUCCCACCAAGUUGAAGAAUACCCUUUAAAUUGAGUAAUUACAUGAGAGGCUUUCUUGUGUCCAGUUAACUUAUUAAGUUGGAAAAUCUUAUUGCAUUGUACUUCCUAGUAAAGGUAGACCGAUGGAUCACUAGUUCCUUUGAAGGUAAGAAGAGUGAUCUUGAUUGAGUUAAAACCCAUGUCUCAGCCCAUAUUUCCUUCUUGAUCCCAUUAACGAUCCUCUUAAACUUGGGAAUGGUUUCCCAAGUUUCCUCUUCUAUAUGGAACUGGACCAAAUAUUUCUCCUCGUCCUCUAUGUCCUCCCCCUUGAUCUCAUCUUCUAGUUCAUACAAAUUCCAUAAAGAGAUCCACUUUACCUAACCUUACAUAAGGUUUCUUACUUCCCACAUCAUCUAUUUGGACUGGUUAAUUAUGGUUAGCCAAGAUUUGAGGUGGUUAGUUUUGUAUAAUGGGAUGGUUUUGUGGGUCUUCUUGAUUGACUUGAUUUAAUUAGGGUUGCAGUGGAUGAACGGGUUUUGAUUAUUUAGGUAAAUAGUACCUUGGAGAGGGGGAUCUUGUACUUUCCUCGGGGGAUUGUACAUUUGAUGAAGUAUUUUUGGAGUUAUAGUAGAGGAGGUGUUAUGAGCAUGGCCACUAGAUAAAGAAUAAGGUUUUUGAGGAGUUGAUGUGGUGGAAUCUAAAUGCCCUUCCACAUUAACUAUCCUUCCAUUCAAUCCCGAUAAUUCACUUCGCAUUUCAUUUACAUCUUGUUUCACACUCAUUAUGGCCGCCAUUAUAGCUUCUAUGUUUAUCUUACUCGAAGCUCUUGGGAUAUAUUCUCCCAAUGCCAUACCUAAAUAAAGUAAAUAAUAAAACUAAAACUAAAACAAAAAACAAGUUAAGGAUAGGAAAUCAACCUCACAAGCUCUCAAAGUUCACACAAUCGUGUUGUCUCUCAAUUGGUAUCGAAAGCGUUGAUAGAUCAUUUAUACUCCGAUGAGAAUUCUUUGUACUAAUUUUGGAUUGAGGUUGGAAUGGAUUAUUUUUUGAAAUGACUCAAAAAAAUAUAUACGGACUUGAGUCAAGAAGCUAUGACGAAUUAAAAACUAGAAAAGCUUAAAAGAAAAGAAACGUUGAAAGAAAUGGGACUCAAAAACUAGUCAAUCAACUUAGUAGAUAAAUUAAUUAUUUGUUGAGUAGUUUAUGAAUAAAAAGACUAUAUUAGGAAUCAAUAAAUUGAAACUAAAGAAUUAAAACUUGAACAAAAUGGAAUCCAAAAGCUUUAAAUGUGUUUGGAAGCCUGAUUUACGGUCAAUUGGGGUUGAUCUGCAUUGAGGAGUUCUUGCAGCGGGUGGGGUGCAUCCCCAAUGCACCUUGGAUGUAGAGGUGGACUUAGCUACUUCCUUGAGGUGUAGCCACAGGUCUGGAGCAAACCAGGCGCAACUACAGCGCAGGUCACCCACCCCUCUCUUGAAUGGGUGAUUUUUACCUUCUAGUGGUCCCUUUUUGUACUCUCUCUUGGAAUAUACUUUGGAAUUUUCUUAGAUGCACAAGUAAAAACACUUUUUCACUACUUUUCAUCCUUCUUUUUGUAUCAAACACCCUCUUUUGAUAAAAUUUCAGCUUGAAGAUUUGAAUUUCUCCAAGAACACUAACUUCUUCUCCCCAAGCUCGGAUGAGUUAAAAUUUUGAACGUAAGAACUUUUCAACGUUCUAAACUCAUUCCCAAUAUAGUUUUACCAAUUUUUCCAGAUUUUUCAACCCACUUCACUUUUCUUCAAGUUCAAGCUCUUAACAAUGGUAGCUCACUUAAUAUGACUUCGAUUAAGCUCAAAUUUGAAAACUAGACUCUAAUAGUGUUAGGGAACUCAAAUCUAACACUAGAAACACAAGAAAAACACAUAAUCAAAAACUCAUAAUUUGACCUAAGAAUAAAAUGUGAAUAGUAACUUCUUUUAAAUUUUCAAUUUUGACACUUUUUUUUGUUGAUUUUCAAGAUAACAAACCCAAAAUUGACUUUGCAGGAAUAAAAUCAAGCUCGGAUCUAAUACCAAAUGAUAAUGAAACAAAUGAUGGAAUUGAAACUAAGUAAAGAAAUGAAGAAAACAAAGAUAAAGAUAGAUAGAUAGAUAGAUAAAGCAAUAAGAUAGACACAAGAAGGAAAUGGAUAACAAACAAAGGGUAUAUCAAACCCUUAAUCCUCUAUUGAAUAUCCGAUCAAGCACCUAAAUCUUACAUAGAUCUCAAGGGAAUUAGAUUCCCAAGAAACCCACACUUCUAAACGGAAGAUUAACACAAGUGAUUCUGCGCUUGCCUCGCACUCUCACAAGAGUAUUGUCAUGAUCUAAACCAGGGUCUGUCCAUGACGGGUAUCUCAAUUCCAGUAAAGACAGGAGACAACCCCCUUUGCCUAGCCAAACAGAACAAAACACAUAUAGCAGCGGAUGUAUUUCAAACAUAUAGUAAGAUAGAAUAAAUGUAAUCUCAAAGGAGUCUAAGAAUAUCAACAACAAUACCCAGUUUGCAAUAAUCCACAAAGUCUCUAUGACAAAACCUAAUAGAAUCUAAGUCGAUACAUGCCUUCGACGAUAGCCAAAGAAACCAUAUGAAUAGUUUAUGACAUAAGAGAAUAGAAAAAUAAUGAAAUAAAGCUCUUCCAGAGAAUGGAAGCUCACCACUCCAAGCUAACUCCUGACACCCUAAAAUCCUAUCACUGUGUAGAAAAGUAGAAGUAUUAAUGUUGCCUGCAUCACAUGGGGAUAUAGUAUCUGAUAAUGAUGAGCGGGUUGAGUGCUAGCAUGUAACACAGGGCAAGGAUAAAAUAAUGUCAGUUAAAAGUUAAAUUUCAAACUCACUAUACAUGUUCAUAUGCAUAUGUAUAUAUAGUAGAUGUUGGGGUAGGGAACAAGGUUUAGCAUGAUAGUAAAACAUUAUCUAGGACUAUGUAGCUAAGCUGUCAUAAACAGGCACCCACGGGCUAUAUGGGUUCAGCUUUCCCUGCUAAAAGAGCCCCAGUGUGUGUUAACCGCAUGAACCAGAGGCAUCAAGGAAGACCAAAAAAUGCCCCGAGCCCACGUCAACCUAGAUACAAAAUGUAUCAAUAGUGUGAACCAUACACACGGUCAUCUAGACCAACCCUCAAGUCGGUAAAUGUGAGUUUCCAGUAUAAGUCAUUCAAGACUCACACCUUCACCUCUUAGCUACAUAACACCCAUUAAUCCCAAUUAAAACAACUUUCACAUAACCCAUUCAUUAACCAAGGAAUCAUAUAUUAAGGCACACCAUGGUAUUGUCAUACCUAUUUAGCUUGCAAGCUUAUACUUAUGCCAUUACAAUUCCAUUAACUUGAGGGAAUGCCUCGACACCCUUUGUUCAUUAUAUCAAGUUGGAGGAAUGCCUCAACCUCCUUUAGUUUAUCAAAAUAAAACAUAGCCAACAAGGCUUCAAAAUCUAUUUUUAUUGUUUAAUCAUUUAUGUAAUGCUAUAGUAUAGGUUAGUAAAUCAAACUAAGUGACAAUUCCAUAAUUCAAAGCCAUUUACACAAGUGGGUUCAGGGAAUACAAUUAUUCAAAAUUAAUUUCCAAGUUCAAAACAUCAAUUUGAGGGAUUUUAUCGACCCUCAUUUUAAUUCCCCCGCCCAUGCACCCUAUUAGUUCAAAAACAUCCACUUCAAAGCAUGAACAACUCAUGAAAACCAUGGGAAAAUAAUUCAAGGAUCAACCAUUUCAAAACCAUCAACCCGUGUUAAAACUCACAUUAAAAUCCAUACAAUUAAACCAUUUAAAAUACGUUCUUUUCACAAAAUAAGAUUUGGAGAAGAGUAACAUGCUUGAGAUAUUACGAUUUACGAAAAGAAAUUAACCCUUGGAAGUUCUAGAGACCAAUUUCUUAAAACCCUAGCUUAUUCAUGCCUUAGGGAUUUAAGAGAGUUUAGGAGAGUGUUGAUGACUGGUAGGUAUUGAAAAUAAUGCCCAAAGGUGAUUUAUGGUUGUAGGAUCUAAGUAGGGGAAAAGGGAAAUGACCAGAAUGUCUUUAAUAAAUAGACUAAAAAUUAACCACACAAUCGCUACGGGUCACAUGAUGACUCAUAAUGACUGGAUAUGAGUCAUUUCUUAGACUCAGAGUUUGGUCAGUAUCAUAGGUAUGCACACUGGUCUGACUAUGAUUCGUACCUUAUAACUCAUACUCAGACCUUAUGACUCGUAUGGUCUAGUUGUUGUAUUGGAAGAAACAUUUAGGCAUCCUUACUGGUUAGGCUACGAAAACCGCUAUAUGACUUGUAAUGGGUCUUGACAACUCAUUGGGUGAUAAUCAUGACCAAUACAAAGACUUUUCCAAACACACUGGUCAGGCUACGAUUACAGUCCUACAACUCAUAUGAUAAGUCUUAGUCUGGGCAGUGAGCUCAGAGGUUAAAAAAAUUUUAAGGGCCAAAAUCUGGGGUGUAAGUAUACAUUCAUAAUUUAUCAAAGUCUAACAACUAAAUGGAAGAAAAGACAUAUUUAUAGUCUAGGGUUAAUUAUUACAUCAUAUGGGCCAAAAAAUUAUCCAUUUGGGAAAGACAAAGCAUAGAAGCCCAUUAAGAAUUCCCUUAGGCAAUCCAAGCACACAUGGGAUGCAUCUUCAAGUCAUGUGAGUUAUUUUUGACCCACUCUAGCAGAUCUAGAGUCGGUUGGGCACACCUACAAAGCAGAUGGGGUGCAUUCUCCUUUCGGGGGCUUUCUAGCCUCAUUUUGCCUUUCUUUGGCCUCUUUAAUAUCUCUCGUUCCUCCUCAAUCAUCAUAAUAAUUCAAUUAGCACCUUUUGGAUAGAACCAAUGAGCCUUCAAGUGCCUCUUGAACUAUAAGCCUCUUCUCUAAUAAUCUGGAGGCCAUUUGGAUUGUAUUACAAUACAAGUUAUGGCAUGGAUUUUAUUUCCUGAUCUUUUACCUACUUUUUUUGUGAUGAAUCACUUUUUUCAUUAGAAGAAACUAUGGGAAAAACCAUCCAUCUUGAUAUGUCCACUAUUAACAAGGCCCGACCUAGUUGUGCGAGGGUGAAAGUCCAAAUUGAUUUAGCAACUAAGUUACCUGAUAAAGUGGAGAUAGAAGUGAAUAAAACAAAAGAAGCAAGGAUUCAAUCAGUCAAAACUCGAUAUGAUAUGCUUCCUAAAUAUUGUUUCAAGUGUAAAGUUCAAUGUCAUGAGAAGGUGGAGUAUAGAAUUUUACAUUCAGAAUUGAAAAAUUAUGUGCAAAAAAGACAUAAAUAGGAAGUUAGUUUUUGCUAAAUGGAAUCCUACAAGUCAAAAAUUUCAAAUUGAAAAAGGAACCAACAAAUUUCUAGAUAAUGUUGUAGACAUGAAAAAUGAGGAAAAGGUGUUACAGGCCAAUAAAACAAUCAGUACUAAGAACUCAUUUGGCAUCCUUCAACAACAAGAUGAAGGCAGUUAACUUACUCAAGCUACGGGAACAAUGACCUCAAUGGUGGAGGGAAAGGAAAAUAUGAAGAAGAAGAAAAAUAAUGUAAAAGAAAAGCUGAGUAACAUGCAAAAUAUAGAUCAACAUAAAUCUGUUUAGUAGAAAUAAAAUAGGAAAAAUAUAUAUUCCAUGAGUUAAUAUGGAUAAUCAGGUGGAGGGAUGUAUUACAACUGACAAGGACAACAUCAAUGAGACUAGCAACAAUAGUUGUUCAAUGGGAACUGCAGAACCUAUUCAUGAUAAAUAUAUGAUAUUAAAUGUAGUGGAUCACAAAGAUACUCAACAACUUACAUGUACCAACAAAAAUCUAAGGAAAAGAGGCAGAAGUAUAUUGCUAGAACAGGGGAAUGUAGGUGUAAAUCAAAAUAAAUUACAUAGUAGUGGAAAAUACAUAGAAGACAUUCAUAGAAACAAAGAAAGUCCACAAAUGCAAAAAAAAAAACAUGUUGAUUAUUGAUAGUCACAGUGCAAGAGGAGGUGAUAUUGUGAAUAAUGAUAUACCUGAUGACAUACAUUCAAAUAGGGUUCAAUUAGCCCUUGCUCAAGCUACAUAAAAUGAGGCACUUUAGGUGGAUGAAUCAGGUGUUAGAGGUGAUGAGGGAUUUCUUCCAAAUAGCAUAGAAGGGGAGGCAAGUAAUCUGGCAUUAGCAGCAUUGAAAAAAUCAAACAACAAAAAAUUACAUAAUUUGGUUUCCCACCAAAUAACAAAAGAGGUAAAUCAUGAAAGUACAGAUACAGAUGACAUAUGGAUAAAAGAUACAGAAGAAGGAAAUAAUCAAAAAAAACUAAACCAAGUAAUGAAAGAAGCAGGUUUAUCACCACGUGCAAAUAACAAAGGUAAAAAGAGUAGGAUCAAAGUUGAAAAGCCUACAAGGACCAGUUCUAGGAGGGGUGGUAAAGCCAGCAUUCAAUGAAUUUAAAAGCACUUUUCUGGAACAUCAGAUUAGUUAGGUCACAACAUGUUUUCCACAUAGUACAAAUGUUACAUAGGCAUCAUAUUACUUUUAUUGCUUUGAUGGAGUCUUUUCAAGAUAUCAGACACAUAUAGAGGUAUAAAAGAAUAUUGGGCAUGAAAUAUACAAAUUAUAAUAUGAAUGUAAAGAUAUGGAUUUUUGUUUAAAAAAAUAUACAGGUGGAGACAUUAGCAUAUUCUGAUCAGCAAAUCACAUUUUAGCUAGUUGUUCAGAAUGAUCAAUAGGUGAUUAUUAUAGCUGUUUAUGCUAAAUGUGAUGUAAGUGAAAGAAUUGCUUUAUGGGAUCUAUUUACUCAUUGAGUCAUAAUGUUAGAGUAUCUUGGAUGGUAAGGGGACUUUAAUGUUAUCAUGAAUGAAGAAGAGAAAAUUGGAGGAUUACCAAUGUAUCCUAAUGUAUAUGAACAUUUUGCUUUCUACAUCAACCCCUGUGAUCUAUUUGAUAUUAAUUUAAAAGGGAGUCCAUUCACUUAGUGGAAUGGUAGGGCAGAUGAUCCAUGUAUUUUUAAGAGAUUAGACAUAAUCGUUAUUAACUAAGAGUUUUUGGGCAUUAUGGGGCGUAUUGAGGUUGAACAUCUAUCCAGGACACGAUCAGAUCAUGCUCCUUUGUUAUUCUCUUGUAGUGAUGAAAAUGUUCAGUUUCACAAGCCUUUUAGGUUUUUGAAAUUUUGGACUGAGAAAGAGGACUUCAAAGAAAUGGUAAGAUAGAAUUAGGUAUCAAAAAAAUGUAGGCAUAUCUUUAUCAAUUUAAAGCAAAAAAUGAAGAAAACCAAAAUGGCUCUAGCUUUAUGGAGCAGAUUCAUGUUUGGAGAUAUAUUUAAAUAAUUAGUCAUCAAGAAAUACAUAGUAAGAAUCAAAAAUGAUUUGUUUGAAGAAAGUCCUACUACUACUAACAAAAUAAUUUUUCAGAAGGCACAGGCUGAGUUGAGGUAGUGUUUACAUUAUGAAGAAGAGUAUUGGAGAUAAAAAUCUGGUAUUCAAUGAUUUUCAGAAGAGAAGGAAAUAUGAAAUUCUUUCUGGUGAAUGCUAGAAGGAAAAAGCUAGAAAUAACUAGAAUUUAGAGAGUUGAUGGUUCUUGGGUUGAAGAUAAUAAUUAGGUAGCUGUAGAAAUAAUUGAUUUCUACCAGAAAUAAUUCACUGGAUCAGUUGAGUCUGGUGCAUAUUCUUUUAUUAAUUUGAUUUCUACCCUAAUCACAAAAUAAGAGAAUAAUUUGUUGAAGGUUUGUCCUGACACUGAAGAAGUUAAAAAGGUAGUUUCUAAACUGAAUGGGGAUAACGCUUGUGAGCCAGAUGGUUUCACUGGACAUUUUCAUCAGUUUUGAUGGGACAUUGUUAGUGGUAAUAUUGUGAAGGUAGUUCAUGUAUUUUUUAUGUAAUGACACUGCCUAAAUCUAUCACUCAUACUAAUUUGGUUCUAUUGCCAAAUAAAGAGAAGGUCAAGAGAGAAGGUCUUGACCUUCUUUGACUUAAGACCUAUUAGUUUGAGUAAUUUUCCAAACAAAAUCAUAUUUAGAAUUCUUCAUGAUAAAUUAUAAGGUUUCUUACCUAGGCUCUCUCAAAAUCAAUCUGAUUUUGUUAAGGGAAAAAUUAUCACAGAUAAUGUAUUAUUGGCCAAGAAAAUUAUAUGCGAUAUUAAAAAAGGGAGUAAGGCUGCAAAUAUGGUAAUUAAGCUUGAUAUGACCAAAGUCUACGAUAGAGUGGAGUGAAAUUUUUUUAUGGAAAUGUUGGAGAAAAUGGGCUUCUCAAAUGUCUUUACUGAUAUGAUAUGGAGACUAGUAGCCAAAAAUUGGUACUCUAUCCUAAUAAAUAGGGAAGUUCAUGUCUUCUUCCAUUCUUCUAGAAGAGUAACGCAAUGGGGUCCUUUAUCCCCUUCUUUAUUUAUUAUUAUUGCUGAAGUUAUAACAGGGCACUUAAUAAUUUAUUCUCAUAUGAUGAUUUCAGGAGUUAUGGACUGACUAAAUAGAGUGAUCAAAUAAAUCAUCUUGCUUAUAUUGAUAAUACAAUAAUAUUUUUUUUGCUGACAGGUUUUCAUUGUAAUUAAUUAUGCAGAUCUUAAGAGAAUAUGAAAACCAAUCGUGUCAACAGGGAAAAGAGUGCCUUUUAUGUACAUAACAAGGUUACUCAUGCACAUGUUUAAUUGGUGGAGCAUUGUACUGGCUUUUCCAAGAGGUAAAUUUCCAUUGACAUAUCUGGUUGUGCUAUUGGACAUGCUAGGAAAAGAAAGAUUAAUUUUUUAGAGCUAUUAAAGAAGGUACAAAAUAAACUUCAGUUAUGGAAAGGCAAACUAUUAUCAUUUGGAGGUAAAGUUGUGUUGAUUAAUAAUGAUUUGCAGAGUAUCCUCAUUUAUCAAUUAUUCGAUCUUAUACCUCCAAAAUGUGUGAUUCAUGAUCUUUAUAGAUUUUUUGCUAAAUUUCUAUGGAACUUUAGAAAAAGAGGGAGGAGUAAACACUAGGUCUCUUGGACUAAUAUAUGUCUACCAAAAAAGGAAAGUGGUAUUGAUUUUAGAUCUUUUUUUUAUGUGUCUAAAUCCUUAUUUUCAAAGCUAUGGUGGUAUUUUAGAAUACAAAAAAAUAAUGUGGACUAAUUUUAUGAGAACAAGUACUGUAAAAGGCAUAGACCACAAGUAGUUGAAUGGAAAGGUGGUUCUCAAGUUUGGAAGUUUAUGUUACAGGCUCGAGAUUAUUUUGACCAAGAAAUAUGGUGGAAAUAUAAGUGUGGACAUGUUAGUAUUUGGUCAGAUAAUUGGACUCAAAAGGGAGCUUUACACUAUUAUCUCCCAUUAAACUAUAAUAAUAAUGGAUGAUUGGAAGAUGUGCAUCAAUUAAUGAAUCAUGAUGGGUGGAAUAGGGAUCUACUUAAGGAAAUUUUUUCUGAAGAUAGAUGCAAUCAUGUACUUAAUAAGAUUGGGACAAUAGGAUAUUUUAAUGCUUGGGAUAAUCCAUGGUGGAUGCCACAAGGUUCUAGAAAAUUUACAAUUAAAAGUGGUUGGACUAUCAUAAGACAGUCUGGGAAUGUCAAUGAGGAUUUAAGGUUUAUAUGGGAAAAGGGUAUACCUUUCAAAGUAUCUUUCUUCUUCUUGAGUUAUGAAAGAAAAUAUUACCUACAGGUGACUUUCUAGUCAGUACAUGAUGGGAAGAAAUGACUAAUUGUGUUUGUUGUGAGUUACCAGUUCAUGAAUCCUAUGAACAUCUCUUUGUUCAGUGUUCUGCAGCUAAUAAUUUGUGGAUAGUUUUUGCAUCAAUAUUGAAGUGUAGGGCCCUUUUCUUCAUUUAAAAUAUGUUAUCUACAAGUGGUGGAAUGCUAAUUAUUGUGCUAAACUUAGGCCCCUAUUUAUUGUUAUUCCUGUUUUCAUACUGUGGAAAAUAUGGAAAGAAGAAACAUCAUCAAACAUGAAGGUAGGAUGUCAAUUCAUGGCAUACAAUAGGAAAUAAAUUGGAAUCUGUAUUUGUUUGCUAAGAUAAGAUAUCCUUGGCUUAAUAAUAUCCCUAGUAACUGGCCUAUGAUGGUUAUGUUCUUGGAAGUUUAUAAACCUAAUAUCCAGGCUACUGUGGUCAAGUGGAAGCCUCCUAUCAAUGGUUUUUAUAAGUGCAAUAUUGAUGGUGCCUCUAAAGAUAACCCUUGUCCUAGUGGUGGUGCUUUCUGUAUUAGAGACAGUAAAGGGAAAUUUAUUUUUGCUAAGUCAUUCUCUUUUGAUAUCUUAACUAACUUAGAGAAAGAAUUUGUUUCCUUUAAGAAGGGUUUAGAGUAACGUGUGAGUCAAAAGUUGUUAACAGUUACUAUGAAAUAGAUUCUCUCAUUCUUAAGAAAAUCCUAGAUGGAAUCUGGGAGAUUUCCUGGAAGGUUUCUAUAUAUAUCAAAAGAAUUCAAUGGUUGAAGAGGCAAUGUCAGGUGGAGGUGUUGCAUACGCUAAGGGAAGGGAACAAACUGGUGAAUUUUUUAGCUAAUGAAGUUUUCUUUUUAGCAGGUACGCAAAAUAUAAUACACAUUGCUACAGGAUAUUGCAGAUGAAGGAAAAAUAAUUAUAAAAAUGGACAAGCAUUAAAUCCCAUCACUGAAGUUUGUCAAAUAACAUUUUUUUCUAUAUAAAAGGCAGUCAUAUUAAAUAACAUACCAGAUCUGAGAUAGCAAAUAACAAGAAAUGCAAAGGUCAAGGCACAUACAGAGGGGGAAUUGAUCCAAAUAGAGGUACAUAUAGCUAUAUUAACAUUGAUUGUCGAGCAAUAAAGUACAAGUACAUAUGUACAUUUUAGACUAGUGCAUGCGACAUGGGUAAAAUACUAAGCUUCAGAAAAGAGGGUUUUGUACCUUUUUCAUGCUUACUCAAAUCAUCUAAGUUAAUGUCCUUUGUCAGUGGUAUCAGCUUCUUGUUGAGCUCAACCUGUCAAGGGUAUGAUUUAGAUAAUCCAAUUUAAACAUUAGAUUAGGUAAUGGAGGAUUUUGGGAAAGAUUUACGUUUACCUGAGGAUCAAAUGUCUCAAUUUGUUCUAAGGGGAGUUGAUGAAGUCUUCCUAUAAUCCGAUUUCAUGGCAUUUGUGAGACAAUUAUAAAUGUCUAAAAUGAAAUUCAUAACUUCACUAAUGGACAGAUUUGAGCUAAAUACAUGGUGUUGGCUUAAGCUUUCCCUUUUAAUCCGUCAGUGAGGCAGUUUCAGCUUUAUAAUCCGUGUGGGGAAGAUGAAAAUGCAUAAGAAUUUUUCUAGAUACUUAUCAUACUUUUUUAUAUGACAUUCAUAGUUGCAACAACUACAGGGGCAUUAAGUUGUUGAGUCACACUAUGAAGAUUUGGGAGAAAGUGGUUGAGCGGAGGUUGAGGAGGAGUGUGUCUAUUUCGGAGAAUCAGUUUGGAUUUAUGCACUGCCGCUCGACGGAGGAGGAAAUUUACCUGGUGUGGAGACUAAUGGAGACGUAUAGGGAGUGAAAGACGGACCUCCACAUGGUUUUC
RNAcentral lists this long non-coding RNA (12288 nucleotides) under Capsicum annuum. RNAcentral describes it as "long non-coding RNA (CANN_LNC017127)". Lineage: Eukaryota; Viridiplantae; Streptophyta; Magnoliopsida; Solanales; Solanaceae. The record is from RNAcentral.